AAGCAGGCAGAUUCAAUUUUCUGCCACCGAAUACAUUAGCAUGGGAUAAUGGAAUAGGACCCUGUCCUCCUUUUUUCAGUUGGUUAAUAACAGAGAGGAUCAGGGUAAUGAUUAAUAGGGAUAGUUGGGGGCAUUAAUAUUUAAUUGUCAGAGGUGAAAUUCUUGGAUUUAUGAAAGAUUAACUUCUGCGAAAGCAUCUGCCAAGGAUGUUUUCAUUAAUCAAGAACGAAAGUUAGGGGAUCGAAGACGAUCAGAUACCGUCGUAGUCUUAACCAUAAACGAUGCCGACCAGCGAUUAGGAGACGUUGAAUACAAAACACCUCUAUAUAUAAUUCAGUAUAUGGUCAGUCAAAUGGCUGUGUAUUGUUUGUAUAUAG
RNAcentral lists this ribosomal RNA (377 nucleotides) under Acanthamoeba sp. RNAcentral's name for it is "SSU rRNA". It matches the Rfam family "Eukaryotic small subunit ribosomal RNA", at positions 778 to 1113 of the family's 1831-position model. The record is from RNAcentral. Lineage: Eukaryota; Discosea; Longamoebia; Acanthamoebidae.